CCCUUAGAUGUUCUGGGCCGCACGCGCGCUACACUGAUGCAUUCAACGAGUUAUUCUUUGACCUUGGUCGAAAGAUCUGGGUAAUCUUUUGAAAGUGCAUCGUGAUUGGGAUAGAUGAUUGCAAUUCUUCAUCUUCAACGAGGAAUGCCUAGUAAACGCAAGUCAUCAGCUUGCAUUGAUUACGUCCCUGCCCUUUGUACACACCGCCCGUCGCUCCUACCGAUUGAAUGAUCCGAUGAAUACCAUGGGUUGAGAGUUCGAACAGGUUCUCCUGUUUCAGCUUCUCGAGAAGUGGAGUAAAUCUUAUCAUUUAGAGGAAGGAGAAGUCGUAACA
RNAcentral lists this ribosomal RNA (334 nucleotides) under uncultured eukaryote. Its description in RNAcentral is "partial 18S ribosomal RNA". It matches the Rfam family "Eukaryotic small subunit ribosomal RNA", at positions 1470 to 1796 of the family's 1831-position model. The record is from RNAcentral.